RNAcentral lists this ribosomal RNA (497 nucleotides) under uncultured bacterium. RNAcentral's name for it is "partial 16S ribosomal RNA". It matches the Rfam family "Bacterial small subunit ribosomal RNA", at positions 28 to 507 of the family's 1533-position model. The record is from RNAcentral.
GAUGAACGCUGGCGGCGUGCCUAAUACAUGCAAGUCGAGCGAUCGGACGAGAAGCUUGCUCCUCUGAUGUUAGCGGCGGAAGGGAGAGUAACAAGUGGACAACCUCCCUAUAAGAAUGGGAUAAAAUCGGGAAACCGGAGCUAAUACCGGAUAAUAUUUUGAACCGGAGGGUUCAAGAGUGUAAGACGGUCUUGCUGUCACUUAUAGAUGGAUCCGCGCUACAUUAGCUAGUUGGUAAGGUAACGGCUUACCAAGGCGACGAUGUGUAGCCGACCUGAGAGGGUGAUCAGCCACACUGGGACUGAGACACGGUCCAGACUCCUACGGGAGGCAGCAGUAGGGAAUCUUCCACAAUGGGCGAAAGCCUGACGGAGCAACGCCGCGUGAAGGAUGAAGGUCUUCGGAUCGUAAACUGCUGUUAUUAGGAAAGAACAGAUGUGUAUGUAACUGGGAGCAUCAUGACGGUACCGAAACAAAAAGCCACGGCUAACUACGUG